RNAcentral lists this unclassified non-coding RNA (334 nucleotides) under soil metagenome. Its description in RNAcentral is "partial contains 5.8S ribosomal RNA, internal transcribed spacer 2, and large subunit ribosomal RNA". The stretch from base 1 to 120 matches the Rfam family "5.8S ribosomal RNA", at positions 35 to 154 of the family's 154-position model. The record is from RNAcentral.
GAUGAAGAACGUAGCGAAAUGCGAUAAGUAAUGUGAAUUGCAGAAUUCAGUGAAUCAUCGAAUCUUUGAACGCACAUUGCGCCCGCCAGUAUUCUGGCGGGCAUGCCUGUUCGAGCGUCAUUUCAACCAUCAAGCCCCAGGCUUGUGUUGGAGCCCUGCGGCUGCCGCAGCCUCCCAAAACCAGUGGCGGGCUCGCUAUCACACCGAGUGCAGUAGUUUACUCUUCGCUCAGGGCGUGUGGCGGGUGCUAGCCGUGAAACCCCCAACUUCUCAAGGUUAACCUCGGAUCAGGUAGGAAUACCCGCUGAACUUAAGCAUAUCAAUAAGCGGAGGA